UCAACCUGGUUGAUCCUGCCAGUAAUCAUAUGCUUGUGUUAAAGAUUAAGCCAUGCAUGUCUAAGUAUAAAUUCAUUCUUACGGUGAAACUGCGAAUGGCUCAAUAAAUCAGUAAUAAUUUAUUUGGUGGUACAAGUUACUUGGAUAACCCUGUUAAUUGUAGAGCUAAUACAUGCAAGAUAAUACCACGAUCC
This 194-nucleotide ribosomal RNA is filed under the name uncultured eukaryote. RNAcentral describes it as "partial 18S ribosomal RNA". It matches the Rfam family "Eukaryotic small subunit ribosomal RNA", at positions 1 to 192 of the family's 1831-position model. The record is from RNAcentral.